RNAcentral lists this ribosomal RNA (99 nucleotides) under uncultured bacterium. RNAcentral's name for it is "partial 16S ribosomal RNA". It matches the Rfam family "Bacterial small subunit ribosomal RNA", at positions 1386 to 1482 of the family's 1533-position model. The record is from RNAcentral.
CACACCGCCCGUCACACCACGAGAGUUUGCAACACCCGAAGUCGGUGACAGAACCCUUAGGGGACUGAGCUGCCGAAGGUGGGGCAGAUGAUUGGGGUG